RNAcentral lists this ribosomal RNA (564 nucleotides) under Triticum aestivum (bread wheat). Its description in RNAcentral is "partial small subunit ribosomal RNA". Lineage: Eukaryota; Viridiplantae; Streptophyta; Magnoliopsida; Poales; Poaceae. The record is from RNAcentral.
AAAAGAGAAGGAAACCGACCCCUCCUCCUUUUUCCACUCGAUUCUUUCUUGCUGCACAAGAAGAGCGCCGCCUCGCUCGCCUUAAUCCGCAACCACCCCCGCCCACAGAGGCACCCAAACCUCGCGCGCCCGCAGCCUCCUCCCCCUCGGUUCCGCAGAAUCGGGCGAGCUCGCCGACGGGACUGCUCCGGCCGCCUCGCUCACUCGCUCGCUCGCCGCCGUCGCGCCAUGGCCACGCCGCUGGUAGCUGGGCUGUCGGUAGCUGCUGCUGCGAUGGGAAGCAGAUUCAUGAUUCAGGCAUGGCAGGCCUUUCGAAUCCGGGCGGCGAUGCCACGUGUGCGUAAAUUCUAUCCUGGCGGAUUUGAGAGGGAGAUGAGCAGAAGAGAAGCCGCACUGAUCCUUGGCGUAAGAGAACGUGCUGCACUGGACAAGAUAAAGGAGGCCCACAAGAGGGUAAUGGUAGCCAACCACCCUGAUGGUGGUGGCAGCCAUUACAUUGCUUCCAAGAUAAACGAGGCCAAGGACAUGCUCAUGGGGAAGGGGAAAUCCGGCUCCAUUUUUUAG